GACGAACGCUGGCGGCGUGCUUAACACAUGCAAGUCGAACGGUGAAGCUCCAGCUUGCUGGAGUGGAUCAGUGGCGAACGGGUGAGUAACACGUGAGCAACCUGCCCCUGACUCUGGAAUAAGCGCUGGAAACGGCGUCUAAUACUGGAUACGAGAAGGGUCCGCAUGGGCACUUUCUGGAAAGUUUUUCGGUUGGGGAUGGGCUCGCGGCCUAUCAGCUUGUUGGUGAGGUAAUGGCUCACCAAGGCGACGACGGGUAGCCGGCCUGAGAGGGCGACCGGCCACACUGGGACUGAGACACGACCCAGACUCCUACAGGAGGCAGCAGUGUAGAAUAUUACACAAUGGGCGAAAGCCUGAUGCAGCGACGCCGCGUGAGGGAUGACGGCCUUCGGGUUGUAAACCUCUUUCAGCAGGGAAGAAGCGAAAGUGACGGUACCUGCAGAAGAAGCACCGGCUAACUACGUG
Molecule: ribosomal RNA, 468 nt
Filed under: uncultured bacterium
Lineage: Bacteria
Description: partial 16S ribosomal RNA
Rfam family: Bacterial small subunit ribosomal RNA
Source: RNAcentral